AACGCACAUUGCGCCUCUUGGUAUUCCGAGGGGCAUGUCUGUUUGAGCGUCAGUAACCAACUCUCCUGAGCGCUUUUUUGCGCUCCGGGGGUCUUGAGACGACGGGCUUCACGGCCCUUCUCUCUAAUGUUGCACGCUUGCGGACUCAUGGUCGAACCCGACGUAGUAAACAUUCUCGUCCGUUGAAACCGUGUGGUCUCGCCUGAACACAUCAAACUUGUAGUUUGACCUCAGAUCAGACAAGGAUACCCGCUGAACUUAA
Molecule: unclassified non-coding RNA, 262 nt
Filed under: Pseudotomentella sp.
Lineage: Eukaryota; Fungi; Basidiomycota; Agaricomycetes; Thelephorales; Thelephoraceae
Description: partial contains 5.8S ribosomal RNA, internal transcribed spacer 2, and large subunit ribosomal RNA
Rfam family: 5.8S ribosomal RNA (bases 1-52)
Source: RNAcentral